GAUAUGUUAGGGUUAACUAAUAGACCUGGAAAACCGCUGGUGUGCUGGCAUGGUAUCAGGAAGUAGGCACAGGCAUGCACUAUUCCUUCACUUAAUAGAUAAAGUGUUAUCCCUUUCCCCUCCCUUCUCCUUGUUAAGAAUUGGUAAGUGUUGCAGCUGCAUAAGAAAUGUGGGGAUCUAAAGAACACCUUUUGGGUAAAGAAGUGUUAUCUCCUCCUCCCUUCCUUUCCCAGCUACAUAAGCAAGCCCUGGGUCAUGUCCCAUUCCUCCUGCCCCUGAGAACUGCAGAUUAAGGGAAUUUGUAGCAACAAAUUACUGCAAAGAAAUGUAUUUCCAAGGAUCCCAGGGGAGAGUCAUGCCUGACCACCAGUCUCACCAUGGAUUCAAUGAAUACUGUGGGCAAGCUGGCACCAGUGGAAGAACAACCCAGAACACCAUGGGUCUACUGUCGCAAUGAAGAUUGUGUUGUGUGUUUUGUGUUGCUUGUCUUGUUAUUACUGUUAUUUUGGUGAAUAUUGUACAAGGAAAAUUAAUGCAUAUAGCAGCAAAGAUUAGUGCAUGGUAUAACCCGCCGGAAAAGCACGGUCUGGCC
Molecule: long non-coding RNA, 592 nt
Organism: Chelonia mydas (Green sea turtle)
Lineage: Eukaryota; Metazoa; Chordata; Testudines; Cheloniidae
Exons: 3
Source: RefSeq, a predicted model, not a curated record